AUCAUUCCUUAUAGGAAAAAUUGUAGCAGCGGUCCCAAGCAUUUAACUUUUUUGUGUACUUUGCCCUAAACUUCAUUUUGUGCUACCCAUAGCCCCAAACAUUUCAAAAAUAUGCAUCUAAGGUCCAAAUAGAUGGAAACCGUUUAUUUGACCAUUAGUUGAUCAAAAAGUCAAAAUUUAAUCAAUUUUGACCAAACUAAAAAAGGAAAAAUAGUAUAUUUACAUUUUUCCAAAUAUCAUUAACAAUUAAAACAAUUAAACUAAAAAAAAAAAAACAGAGAAUUCUUCUUCUUCUUCUUCCCAUAGGUGCAGGCACCACCACCACCCCAGACCCCUACCUUAACCAAACAUGUUGGCACCACCAUAGCCUACACGUCAGCAACUAAUCAGCCACGUCCCAAAGUCACUACAACUCCACAACCUUCAACCACUGUCAAAUUGUCAUUUCUUUGCUUUUCAACCAUCACCCAAACUAACCCAACCUGAUUUUUCAGGCUAAGAAAUGACAGCAAGCUUCUUAGCUCUAGAGGGCUUUGCAGACUUUGAUGCAAUUUCAUUCCCAGUGCCCUUAUCAUGUUGCUUCAUGAACCACUUUCUUAUAUCUGAUUGCAAAUCAAUGUGAAAUUCUAAUAAAUUCUCAUCGCAAAAUUCCACCCAAAGUUAAAAUAGAAGACAUAUCAUAAACAAUACUAACACAGAAAUGGGUUGAAACGAUAAACUACACCCAGCAUACAUAAUAAUGAGUUUAUAUGUGCUUUAAUUUAUCAAAUUACUACAAUUUCUAACUCACCAUUGUUUGGCCGUUGGCUUCAUGCUAUGACUGCUAGAACUCAAAAUACCUUCUAAAAAGAAAAAGAAAAUUCAUUAUUUACAUUUCUAGAUAAAUAACAGGAAAGAGUUAGAUUAUGACAAAUAAGAAGUAGAAAAAAUUUCCUAUGGAAAGGUUAAGGUUUAUGUUUCGAGGGGUUCUCAAAACGGGGGUUUUUGAACAAUAUUAUAUCCUUAAAGCCUCAAUAUGCCAUUGGCAGUAGCAGAGUCCUUAAAGCCCAAAAGCUUGUAACUUUUGGGUUCGAUUUAGUGGAGGCGGUGUUGGAGUUUGGAAAGAAUAGAAGUAAAAGGUGAUGGUUCGAUUUAGUAGAGGUGGUUUUGGUUUUUGGGUGGCGAUCGGUGGCUUUGGAUUAUGAUUUGGUUGGAGGGGUAGGGAUGGGGUGAAGGUGGGGACAGGGAAGAAGAUGAAGAUAAGGGUGCUUUCUUU
This 1255-nucleotide long non-coding RNA is filed under the name Olea europaea (common olive). Its description in RNAcentral is "long non-coding RNA (OEUR_LNC008014)". The record is from RNAcentral. Lineage: Eukaryota; Viridiplantae; Streptophyta; Magnoliopsida; Lamiales; Oleaceae.